RNAcentral lists this ribosomal RNA (433 nucleotides) under uncultured bacterium. Its description in RNAcentral is "partial 16S ribosomal RNA". It matches the Rfam family "Bacterial small subunit ribosomal RNA", at positions 29 to 507 of the family's 1533-position model. The record is from RNAcentral.
AACGAACGCUGGCGGCAUGCCUAACACAUGCAAGUCGAACGAGACCUUCGGGUCUAGUUGCGCACGGCUGCGUAACGCGUGGGAACCUGCCCUUAGGUUCGGAAUAACUCCCCGUAAGGGGUGCUAAUACCGGUUAAUGUCUUCGGACCAAAGAUUUCUCGCCUUUGGAUGGGCCCUCGUUGGAUUAGCUAGUUGGUAGGGUAAAAGCCUACCAAGGCGACGAUCCAGAGCUGGUCGGAGAGGAUGAUCAGCCACACUGGGACUGAGACACGGCCCAGACUCCUACGGGAGGCAGCAGUGGGGAAUAUUGGACAAUGGGCGAAAGCCUAAUCCAGCAAUGCCGCGUGAGUGAUGAAGGCCGUAGGGUUGUAAAGCUCUUUUACACGGGAUGAUAAUGACAGUACCGGGAGAAUAAGCUCCGGCUAACUCCGUG